GAUGAACGCUGGCGGCGUGCCUAAUACAUGCAAGUCGAGCGAACAGACGAGGAGCUUGCUCCUUUGACGUUAGCGGCGGACGGGUGAGUAACACGUGGAUAACCUACCUAUAAGACUGGGAUAACUUCGGGAAACCGGAGCUAAUACCGGAUAACAUGUUGAACCGCAUGGUUCAACAGUGAAAGACGGUCUUGCUGUCACUUAUAGAUGGAUCCGCGCCGCAUUAGCUAGUUGGUAAGGUAACGGCUUACCAAGGCAACGAUGCGUAGCCGACCUGAGAGGGUGAUCGGCCACACUGGAACUGAGACACGGUCCAGACUCCUACGGGAGGCAGCAGUAGGGAAUCUUCCGCAAUGGGCGAAAGCCUGACGGAGCAACGCCGCGUGAGUGAAGAAGGUCUUCGGAUCGUAAAACUCUGUUAUUAGGGAAGAACAAAUGUGUAAGUAACUAUGCACGUCUUGACGGUACCUAAUCAGAAAGCCACGGCUAACUGCGUG
Molecule: ribosomal RNA, 497 nt
Filed under: uncultured bacterium
Lineage: Bacteria
Description: partial 16S ribosomal RNA
Rfam family: Bacterial small subunit ribosomal RNA
Source: RNAcentral